GACGAACGCUGGCGGCGUGCCUAAUACAUGCAAGUAGAACGCUGAAGAGAGGAGCUUGCUUUUUUUGGAUGAGUUGCGCACGGGUGAGUAACGCGUAGGUAACCUGCCUUGUAGCGGGGGAUAACUAUUGGAAACGAUAGCUAAUACCGCAUAACAAUGGAUGACACAUGUCAUUUAUGUGAAAGGGGCAAUUGCUCCACUACAAGAUGGACCUGCGUUGUAUUAGUUAGUAGGUGAGGUAAUGGCUCACCUAGGCGAGGUAACAUAGCCGACCUGAGAGGGUGGGUGGCCACCCUGGGACUGAGACACGGCCCAGAGUCCUACGGGAGGCAGCCGUAGGGAAACGUCGGCAAUGGGGGCAACCCUGACCGAGCAACGCCGCGUGAGUGAAGAAGGUUUUCGGAUCGUAAAGCUCUGUUGUAAGUCAAGAAAGGGUGUGAGAGUGGAAAGUUCACACUGUGACGGUAGCUUACCAGAAAGCGACGGCUAACUACGUG
This 497-nucleotide ribosomal RNA is filed under the name uncultured bacterium. Its description in RNAcentral is "partial 16S ribosomal RNA". It matches the Rfam family "Bacterial small subunit ribosomal RNA", at positions 28 to 507 of the family's 1533-position model. The record is from RNAcentral.